GACGAACGCUGGCGGCGUGCUUAACACAUGCAAGUCGAACGGAAAGGCGCUGCUCUUGUUGGGUGCUCGUGUGGCGAACGGGUGAGUAACACGUGAGUAACCUGCACUUGACUUUGGGGUAACUUUAGGAAAAUGGGGCUAAUACCGGAUAGGAGCUUCUGCAGCAUGGGGGGCGUUGGAAAGAUUCGGCGGUUGGGGAUGGAUUCGAGGCUUAUGAGCUUGAUGGUCGGGUAGUGGCGUACCAAGGGUUUGACGGGUAGCCGGCAUGAGAGGGUGACCAGCGACAUUGGGACUGAGAUACGGCCCAGACGCCUACGGGAGGCAGCAGUGGGGAAUAUUACACAAUGGGCGGAAGCCUGAUGCAGCAACGCCGCGUGCGGGAUGACGGCCUUCGGGUUGUAAACCGAUUUCGCCGGUGACGAAGCGUGAGUGACGGUAAUGGGUAAGAAAGCACCGGCUAACUACGUG
RNAcentral lists this ribosomal RNA (468 nucleotides) under uncultured bacterium. RNAcentral's name for it is "partial 16S ribosomal RNA". It matches the Rfam family "Bacterial small subunit ribosomal RNA", at positions 28 to 507 of the family's 1533-position model. The record is from RNAcentral.